RNAcentral lists this ribosomal RNA (86 nucleotides) under Pseudonocardiaceae bacterium. Lineage: Bacteria; Bacillati; Actinomycetota; Actinomycetes; Pseudonocardiales; Pseudonocardiaceae. RNAcentral also lists the same sequence under 1 other name. The record is from RNAcentral.
GACCCAUCCCGAACCCGGAAGCUAAGCCCUCCAGCGCCGAUGGUACUGCACCCGCCAGGGUGUGGGAGAGUAGGACACCGCCGAAC